RNAcentral lists this ribosomal RNA (253 nucleotides) under uncultured bacterium. Its description in RNAcentral is "partial 16S ribosomal RNA". It matches the Rfam family "Bacterial small subunit ribosomal RNA", at positions 524 to 776 of the family's 1533-position model. The record is from RNAcentral.
UACGUAGGGUGCGAGCGUUAAUCGGAAUUACUGGGCGUAAAGUGUGCGCAGGCGGCCGCGCAAGUCGAGUGUGAAAGCCCCGAGCUUACCUUGGGAAUUGCGCUCGAAACUACGUGGCUGGAGUGUGGCAGAGGAAGGUGGAAUUCCAGGUGUAGCGGUGAAAUGCGUAGAGAUCUGGAGGAACACCGAUGGCGAAGGCAGCCUUCUGGGCCAACACUGACGCUCAUGCACGAAAGCGUGGGGAGCAAACAGG